AGAGUUUGAUCCUGGCUCAGGACGAACGCUGGCGGCGUGCCUAAUACAUGCAAGUCGAACGCUUCUUUUUCCACCGGAGCUUGCUCCACCGGAAAAAGAGGAGUGGCGAACGGGUGAGUAACACGUGGGUAACCUGCCCAUCAGAAGGGGAUAACACUUGGAAACAGGUGCUAAUACCGUAUAACAAUCAAAACCGCAUGGUUUUGAUUUGAAAGGCGCUUUCGGGUGUCGCUGAUGGAUGGACCCGCGGUGCAUUAGCUAGUUGGUGAGGUAACGGCUCACCAAGGCCACGAUGCAUAGCCGACCUGAGAGGGUGAUCGGCCACAUUGGGACUGAGACACGGCCCAAACUCCUACGGGAGGCAGCAGUAGGGAAUCUUCGGCAAUGGACGAAAGUCUGACCGAGCAACGCCGCGUGAGUGAAGAAGGUUUUCGGAUCGUAAAACUCUGUUGUUAGAGAAGAACAAGGAUGAGAGUAACUGUUCAUCCCUUGACGGUAUCUAACCAGAAAGCCACGGCUAACUACGUGCCAGCAGCCGCGGUAAUACGUAGGUGGCAAGCGUUGUCCGGAUUUAUUGGGCGUAAAGCGAGCGCAGGCGGUUUCUUAAGUCUGAUGUGAAAGCCCCCGGCUCAACCGGGGAGGGUCAUUGGAAACUGGGAGACUUGAGUGCAGAAGAGGAGAGUGGAAUUCCAUGUGUAGCGGUGAAAUGCGUAGAUAUAUGGAGGAACACCAGUGGCGAAGGCGGCUCUCUGGUCUGUAACUGACGCUGAGGCUCGAAAGCGUGGGGAGCAAACAGGAUUAGAUACCCUGGUAGUCCACGCCGUAAACGAUGAGUGCUAAGUGUUGGAGGGUUUCCGCCCUUCAGUGCUGCAGCUAACGCAUUAAGCACUCCGCCUGGGGAGUACGACCGCAAGGUUGAAACUCAAAGGAAUUGACGGGGGCCCGCACAAGCGGUGGAGCAUGUGGUUUAAUUCGAAGCAACGCGAAGAACCUUACCAGGUCUUGACAUCCUUUGACCACUCUAGAGAUAGAGCUUCCCCUUCGGAGGCAAAGUGACAGGUGGUGCAUGGUUGUCGUCAGCUCGUGUCGUGAGAUGUUGGGUUAAGUCCCGCAACGAGCGCAACCCUUAUUGUUAGUUGCCAUCAUUCAGUUGGGCACUCUAGCAAGACUGCCGGUGACAAACCGGAGGAAGGUGGGGAUGACGUCAAAUCAUCAUGCCCCUUAUGACCUGGGCUACAC
This 1239-nucleotide ribosomal RNA is filed under the name Enterococcus faecium. Its description in RNAcentral is "bacterial SSU rRNA". It matches the Rfam family "Bacterial small subunit ribosomal RNA", at positions 8 to 1219 of the family's 1533-position model. The record is from RNAcentral. Lineage: Bacteria; Bacillati; Bacillota; Bacilli; Lactobacillales; Enterococcaceae.